UGACUAUUUUGUAUGUGCAUUGAACAAACAAUAUUAACAAUUAACAAUUCUCAAAUGCAGACAUAGUUGCAAUUACAAUAUGUAACAGUG
Sinocyclocheilus grahami is the source of this 90-nucleotide long non-coding RNA. RefSeq lists it as uncharacterized. The transcript has 3 exons. NCBI's taxonomy places the organism in Eukaryota, Metazoa, Chordata, Actinopteri, Cypriniformes, Cyprinidae. The record is from RefSeq and is a predicted model, not a curated record.